AUCAGAGUAGAUGAUGCCCAGCUUGCUGGGCGGAUUAGUGGCGAACGGGUGAGUAAUACGUGAGUAACCUGCCCUUGACUCUGGGAUAAGCCUGGGAAACUGGGUCUAAUACUGGAUACUACCUCUUACCGCAUGGUGGGUGGUGGAAAGGGUUUUACUGGUUUUGGAUGGGCUCACGGCCUAUCAGCUUGUGGUGGGRAAGUAGCUCACCAAGGCGACGACGGGUAGCCGGCCUGAGAGGGUGACCGGCCACACUGGGACUGAGACACGGCCCAGACUCCUACGGGAGGCAGCAGUGGGGAAUAUUGCACAAUGGGCGGAAGCCUGAUGCAGCGACGCCGCGUGAGGGAUGACGGCCUUCGGGUUGUAAACCUCUUUCAGUAGGGAAGAAGCGAGAGUGACGGUACCUGCAGAAGAAGCGCCGGCUAACUACGUGCCAGCAGCCGCGGUAAUACGUAGGGCGCAAGCGUUGUCCGGAAUUAUUGGGCGUAAAGAGCUCGUAGGCGGUUUGUCGCGUCUGCUGUGAAAGCCCGGGGCUCAACCCCGGGUCUGCAGUGUGUACGGGCAGACUAGAGUGCAGUAGGAGAGACUGGAAUUCCUGGUGUAGCGGUGAAAUGCGCAGAUAUCAGGAGGAACACCGAUGGCGAAGGCAGGUCUCUGGGCUGUUACUGACGCUGAGGAGCGAAAGCAUGGGGAGCGAACAGGAUUAGAUACCCUGGUAGUCCAUGCCGUAAACGUUGGGCACUAGGUGUGGGGUACAUUCCACGUUUUCCGCGCCGUAGCUAACGCAUUAAGUGCCCCGCCUGGGGAGUACCGCCGCAAGGCUAAAAACUCAAAGAAUUGACGGGGGCCCGCACAAGCGGCGGACAUGCGAUUAAUUCGAUGCAACGCGAAGAACCUUACCAAGGCUUGACAUUCACCGGACCGCCCCAAA
RNAcentral lists this ribosomal RNA (934 nucleotides) under Kocuria sp. EB-2011. RNAcentral describes it as "bacterial SSU rRNA". It matches the Rfam family "Bacterial small subunit ribosomal RNA", at positions 61 to 1005 of the family's 1533-position model. Lineage: Bacteria; Bacillati; Actinomycetota; Actinomycetes; Micrococcales; Micrococcaceae. The record is from RNAcentral.